Astyanax mexicanus (Mexican tetra) is the source of this 46-nucleotide regulatory RNA element. It matches the Rfam family "Histone 3' UTR stem-loop". From Rfam's summary of the family: The mRNAs of metazoan histone genes lack a poly-A tail. 3' end processing occurs at a site between a highly conserved stem-loop (modelled by this family) and a purine rich region around 20 nts downstream (the histone downstream element, or HDE). The record is from Rfam. NCBI's taxonomy places the organism in Eukaryota, Metazoa, Chordata, Actinopteri, Characiformes, Acestrorhamphidae.
UAAAAGGCUCUUUUAAGAGCCACUUCCUUAUUCAUAAAAAAGCAUU